RNAcentral lists this ribosomal RNA (1790 nucleotides) under Dermestes maculatus (common hide beetle). Its description in RNAcentral is "16S ribosomal RNA". The stretch from base 1551 to 1709 matches the Rfam family "Archaeal large subunit ribosomal RNA", at positions 2544 to 2703 of the family's 2987-position model. Lineage: Eukaryota; Metazoa; Arthropoda; Insecta; Coleoptera; Dermestidae. The record is from RNAcentral.
AAUUUUUAAAUUAUUAAUAUAUAUUUUUUAUUAUUUUUAAAUAAAGUAUUUUUUUGUUUUAUUAAUUAUUAUUGAAGAAAUUUUUUUUAUUAUAGUUUAUUAGUACUGUGAAGGAAAUUUUUUAAUUAUUAAAAAGAAUAAUUUAAUUUUUGUACCUUUUGUAUCAGGGUUUAUUAAAAUAAUAUUAUAGAUAUAAUUUUCUCGAUUUUAAAGGAGCUAAUAAUUUAUAAAUUUUAUUGUUGAAUUAAUAUUUAAAAUUUAUUAUUUGAAAUGAAACGUUAUUCGUCUUUAAAUAUUUCUAGUUUCUAAAGAAAUGAAUUUAAUUCAGUUUCUUAAAGUAAAUAAUUAAUUUAAAUUAUUUUGUUUUAAGAAUAAAAAAUUUAAAGGGAUAAGCUUUUAAAUUUUUCUAUAAUAUUUUAUUAUUUGUUUUAGGUUGUAGGAUUGGAAUUUUUUAUCAAUAAAAGGAUGUUUUAAUUAACUUAAGUUAUUUUAAUAUUUAUAUUUUAUUUAGAUUAUUUAUUUAGAAUUUAUUUUUAAUUUUUUAAAAUAAGAAAUAAUGAUAAAAUUAGUAAUUUUAUUUGUUUAAUUAUAUUAAAAAUUUUAGAUUUUAUUAAGGAAUUCGACAAUUAAUUUUUUCGCCUGUUUAAUAAAAACAUGUCUUUUUGAUAAUGAUUUAAAGUCUAGUCUGCCCACUGUGAAUAUGAAGGGCCGCGGUAUUUUAACUGUGCAAAGGUAGCAUAAUAAUUAGUUUUUUUAUUGAAAACUGGAAUGAAUGGCUGGACGAGAGAAAUAGUGUCUCAAUAAAAAUUAAUGAAUUUUAUUUUUAAGUGAAAAAGCUUAAAUAAUUUUAAAAGACGAGAAGACCCUAUAGAGUUUAACAUAAAAUUUAUUAUAAUUAAUUGGAAUUUUUUUUUAUAAUAAUAAUUUUUGUUUAGCUGGGGUGGCUUUAAAAUUGAUUUAACUUUUAUUUUAUAAAACACUUAUUUGUGAUUAUUUGAUCCAUAUUUUUGAUUAAAAGAUUUAAUUACCUUAGGGAUAACAGCGUAAUCUUUCUUUAGAGCUCUAAUCAAUAGAAAGGAUUGCGACCUCGAUGUUGGAUUAAAAUUUUUAAAAAUUUUAGAUUUUAUUAAGGAAUUCGACAAUUAAUUUUUUCGCCUGUUUAAUAAAAACAUGUCUUUUUGAUAAUGAUUUAAAGUCUAGUCUGCCCACUGUGAAUAUGAAGGGCCGCGGUAUUUUAACUGUGCAAAGGUAGCAUAAUAAUUAGUUUUUUUAUUGAAAACUGGAAUGAAUGGCUGGACGAGAGAAAUAGUGUCUCAAUAAAAAUUAAUGAAUUUUAUUUUUAAGUGAAAAAGCUUAAAUAAUUUUAAAAGACGAGAAGACCCUAUAGAGUUUAACAUAAAAUUUAUUAUAAUUAAUUGGAAUUUUUUUUUAUAAUAAUAAUUUUUGUUUAGCUGGGGUGGCUUUAAAAUUGAUUUAACUUUUAUUUUAUAAAACACUUAUUUGUGAUUAUUUGAUCCAUAUUUUUGAUUAAAAGAUUUAAUUACCUUAGGGAUAACAGCGUAAUCUUUCUUUAGAGCUCUAAUCAAUAGAAAGGAUUGCGACCUCGAUGUUGGAUUAAAAUUUAUUUUUGGUGCAGAAGCUAAAAUAUUAAGUCUGUUCGACUUUUGAAAUUUUACAUGAUCUGAGUUUAAACCGGUGUGAGCCAGGUUGGUUUCUAUCUUUAAAUAAAUUAAGUAUUUUAGUACGAAAGGACCAAAUAUUUAACUAAUAGUUUAAUUUUGAUUACUAUU